Gopherus flavomarginatus (Mexican gopher tortoise) is the source of this 1547-nucleotide long non-coding RNA. RefSeq lists it as uncharacterized. The record is from RefSeq and is a predicted model, not a curated record. NCBI's taxonomy places the organism in Eukaryota, Metazoa, Chordata, Testudines, Testudinidae. The transcript is spliced from 2 exons.
UUGGUGUCACUAAGCAUAACCCUACGUAACUCAGGAGGGUGGAAGGCCACAAGAGUAUGGAGCCUUCCUGGUUUUAGGCCUCAGCAGACAAGAGUCCCUCCAUGUUUGAACUUUAAUCGACCUAAAAGGCCAGGUGUAACAGCCGUUAUCAGUUGCAACAGUUCUAACUGGUCUAAAGCAGAAAUAAUGAGGCCUGUGCACCUUUAGCAGAAGGACAAGAUAACUUGCAGAAGGAAAACUUACUAACGAGCUGCCGCGGCCAAGAUUACUUAAUGCACCUGCGCUUACGUAAUUGCUACAGGGGGAGGAAGGAGGAGGAGGGAGGGGAAACGGGGGAUUGCUAGUCAGUGAGAAAAGUUCUCAUGGAUAUAAAGGAACAGACUGCUUGUUUUAGGUGUGCUUGAUCUGAGUCAAUCUCCCUGCACCGCUUUGAGAUCUCAAAUAAACUUGGUUUGCUUCUCCACCCUGGUGUGUUUAUUGGCGCGGCACACCGGGCGACGGACCCCCCCGCUGUUGCUUGGCCUCAGGCAGUUAUCUGCCGGCAACAGUUCUUGGCGCCCCAUGUGGGGCAUUGAGGCUAAAAUUAGCCUUGCCUGGAUCCCUUCUGGUGGUCGACGGAUUGCGGCGACGACCGACGCCCAGCGCGCACCGGUGACUUCACCGGGGGCCUCGGCGGAGACGCAGUUCGACUGACCCCAGAGGGCACAACGGUGCAACGCGCUCGAGUAGUGGAGAAGCAGUUGAGGGCGACGGUGAGGAACCGGUCCCUUGGAUAAGGGGUGGGUAGACCUCUCUUUUUUUUGUCUUUCAGAUAAUCAGAGAAAACUGAUGCCAGCUGAACAGCAUUCAACGUACCAUGCAUUUACUGGCACAAUAGGAAUCAUGUUUUGUGUUCUAUGUUCUGUCCUGUGGUGUUUGUCUUGUGGCCGGAAUUUUUGUGUUUAAUAUUUUUAUAAAAUAGUCUAGUUUAAAAUCAAACAAAAAGAUUAAAUUAAAAUGCAGAUAUUUGUUUUGUUCAACUUGGAAUACAAAGUGUUUGGAUAAAUCAGGAGAAUGUAAUAUACUAAAGUCUAAUGCAUUUCCUUAAGUAAAGAAAAGAAAUUUCAUUGGCCAAACUGUUAAUUGCAAAAAUUGUUGUUAAAAUUUGCAUACCAACAGUCUUUGAAAGCAAAGACAUGAAAAGUUAACCCACUCCCCAUAUUGUACAUGGGAUCUUUUUGGCUACCUCAGAUUUCUAGCCAGAGGGCUGGGGAUGGUGAAAGGCUAUUGGACUAGAGGUUGUAUUGAGUGAACUCCUCAAAGUGGGUGUGCUUGUCCUGGCUUGUUGCUCCAAAGCUCUGUAAUAAGGUUAUUUUAGCAAAAGGGUGUGUGUGGCAUAUAUUAAAUAAUAAGACUAAUGUACUGUAUAAUGACAAUGUUUAUGUCUUCAUUGUUGGGAAGAAGGUGUAUAAGUAAAAAGUGGAAGUUUCCUUUGCAGGUUAAAAGAAGCCAAGAAGGGAAGAAGGACAAAGAACAGAAUGAAUUAACUGAAAAAAAAUAAAAUAAAA